This 305-nucleotide ribosomal RNA is filed under the name uncultured bacterium. RNAcentral describes it as "partial 16S ribosomal RNA". It matches the Rfam family "Bacterial small subunit ribosomal RNA", at positions 508 to 809 of the family's 1533-position model. The record is from RNAcentral.
ACAGCAGUCGCCGCGGGAAUACAGAGGGUGCGAGCGUUAAUCGGAUUUACUGGGCGUAAAGCGUGCGUAGGCGGCUUCUUAAGUCGGAUGUGAAAUCCCUGAGCUUAACUUAGGAAUUGCAUUCGAUACUGGGAAGCUAGAGUAUGGGAGAGGAUGGUAGAAUUCCAGGUGUAGCGGUGAAAUGCGUAGAGAUCUGGAGGAAUACCGAUGGCGAAGGCAGCCAUCUGGCCUAAUACUGACGCUGAGGUACGAAAGCAUGGGGAGCAAACAGGAUUAGAGACCCGUGUAGUCCCUGUCUCUUAUAA